This 459-nucleotide ribosomal RNA is filed under the name uncultured bacterium. RNAcentral's name for it is "partial 16S ribosomal RNA". It matches the Rfam family "Bacterial small subunit ribosomal RNA", at positions 338 to 795 of the family's 1533-position model. The record is from RNAcentral.
CCUACGGGAGGCAGCAGUGAGGAAUAUUGGUCAAUGGCCGGAAGGCUGAACCAGCCAAGUCGCGUGAGGGACGACUGCCCUAUGGGUUGUAAACCUCUUUUAUAAGGGAAGAAUAAAUGCUACGUGUAGCAUGAUGCCUGUACCUUAUGAAUAAGCAUCGGCUAACUCCGUGCCAGCAGCCGCGGUAAUACGGAGGAUGCGAGCGUUAUCCGGAUUUAUUGGGUUUAAAGGGUGCGUAGGCGGUUUUUUAAGUUAGUGGUAAAACGUCGGGGCUUCACCUUGAUUUGCCAUUAAUACUGUAAGACUCGAGUUCAGACGAGGUAGGCGGAAUAAGUUAAGUAGCGGUGAAAUGCUUAGAUAUAACUUAGAACUCCGAUAGCGAAGGCAGCUUACCAGACUGCGACUGACGCUGAAGCACGAGAGCGUGGGUAGCGAACAGGAUUAGAUACCCUUGUAGUC